Molecule: unclassified non-coding RNA, 167 nt
Filed under: Ascomycota sp.
Lineage: Eukaryota; Fungi; Ascomycota
Description: partial contains small subunit ribosomal RNA, internal transcribed spacer 1, and 5.8S ribosomal RNA
Rfam family: Eukaryotic small subunit ribosomal RNA (bases 1-47)
Source: RNAcentral
AAAGUCGUAACAAGGUUUCCGUAGGUGAACCUGCGGAAGGAUCAUUACCAAAUAGGCCCUCUCGGCCUCAUUUUUUUCUAUUCUUGUGUAAAACAAUCUGUGGAAGUUAAUCUUCUGCUUUACUAUAUUACUUAUUAAAACUUUCAACAACGGAUCUCUUGGCUCUG